CAUUAGCAUGGGAUAACAUCA
Molecule: non-coding RNA, 21 nt
Filed under: Arabidopsis thaliana (thale cress)
Lineage: Eukaryota; Viridiplantae; Streptophyta; Magnoliopsida; Brassicales; Brassicaceae
Source: RNAcentral